Molecule: ribosomal RNA, 433 nt
Filed under: uncultured bacterium
Lineage: Bacteria
Description: partial 16S ribosomal RNA
Rfam family: Bacterial small subunit ribosomal RNA
Source: RNAcentral
AACGAACGCUGGCGGCAUGCCUAACACAUGCAAGUCGAACGAGACCUUCGGGUCUAGUGGCGCACGGGUGCGUAACGCGUGGGAACCUGCCCUUAGGUUCGGAAUAACUCCCCGAAAGGGGUGCUAAUACCGGAUAAUGUCUUCGGACCAAAGAUUUAUCGCCUUUGGAUGGGCCCGCGUUGGAUUAGCUAGUUGGUAGGGUAUAAGCCUACCAAGGCGACGAUCCAUAGCUGGUCUGAGAGGAUGAUCAGCCACACUGGGACUGAGACACGGCCCAGACUCCUACGGGAGGCAGCAGUGGGGAAUAUUGGACAAUGGGCGAAAGCCUGAUCCAGCAAUGCCGCGUGAGUGAUGAAGGCCUUAGGGUUGUAAAGCUCUUUUACCCGGGAUGAUAAUGACAGUACCGGGAGAAUAAGCUCCGGCUAACUCCGUG